ACAAACCAAACCCACUGAACAACUGCAGUUCUUCCCAGAGGUACCUUACUGGAGAUGAAGCUCACCUUUCCCUUUUGGGUGUACAGGCAGCUGCUGCUGUCUCUCCUAUUCAAACAGCUUCCCAGUGCUGUGAGCCUGUUUGAGGGUGACUAUAUUACUGAAGCAGAUCUCUCUCUCUGCAUCUUGAACAUACCAGCUCUGACUCUGUCCUAUACCCUGGCAGAAAAAUACACCCUACCUUCCAUGUUGCCUGAUACAGCACUGGAGGGACUCUCUUGAAGAAAGUGUGGGUGACACCAGUGGAGAUGUAUUUAAAUUUGCCUGGGAACUUAGCCCUAUUUCUAGUGAAGAAUAUAUUGACUUCUUUUUUUCUACUGGGUCACAGUUGGUCAGCAAUGAGGGAACUUCAAAGAAGCUGCAAGUCCAUUUUGGAUCUGUCAAAGAACGAUAUAAUAUGUUUCCUGACAGAUGUUUACCCUAAAACAUCAAGUGAUCGUUUCUGAGGAAAGUAAGUGAGUAAAAGCAAAGCCUGUCACCUAGGAUAUGUCACAAUGUGAAUCCUGAACUCCCAGUGUGAUCUGAACUCUGGCAAUGCCCAAGGAUAUUGCCUUUUGAGAUUUUUAGUU
Molecule: long non-coding RNA, 626 nt
Organism: Pezoporus occidentalis (night parrot)
Lineage: Eukaryota; Metazoa; Chordata; Aves; Psittaciformes; Psittacidae
Exons: 2
Source: RefSeq, a predicted model, not a curated record